CCGGGGGAGGCGCUGCCCGCGGAGCCUCGGCGGGAGCGCGGCCCCGCACCCGCGCCUGGACAGACGGAAUCCCCGGCAGGACAGACGGAACACCCCGCAGGACAGACGGAAUCCGGGGCAGGAGCGCAGCCCAGCAUCCGCACCUGGGCGGGAAGGACAGACAGAAUCCUCACCUGGGGGAGCAGGACAGACAGAAUCCGCACCCGGGCGGGCAGGAGGCCCCGCACCCGCACCCGGGCAGCGCCGGCAGCCGCCCUGCCCCAUCCCGCCAGCAUGAGCGGCCGCACCGGGGGAACCGCGCCGGGCACCGCGGGGCUCUGCCCCGGCCACGGAUGAGGUCUCUCCUAUGGACAUUGAACUCCCAGCUGCCUGAGCCUGCUGCCUGUGAUGGAAGAGCUGGAUGUGAAUGUGAGUUCCAGUGAGGGCUUCGGCAUCGCGGAGAAGAUCCUGCUGCUCUCCUUCGUCUCCGCCGUCAUCCUCAUGGCCAUCCUGGGCAACCUGCUGGUCAUGGUGGCCGUGUGCCGGGACAGGCAGCUCCGGAAAAUCAAGACCAACUAUUUCAUCGUGUCCCUGGCCUUUGCUGACCUGCUGGUGUCGGUGCUGGUGAUGCCCUUUGGAGCCAUGGAGCUGGUCCAGGACAACUGGAUCUAUGGGGAGAUGUUCUGCCUGGUGAGGACCUCCCUGGACGUGCUGCUGACCACAGCAUCCAUCCUGCACCUCUGCUGCAUCUCCCUGGACAGGUACUAUGCCAUCUGCUGCCAGCCCCUGGUGUACAGGAACAAGAUGACCCCGCUGCGCAUCGCGCUGAUGCUGGGGGGCUGCUGGGUGAUCCCCACCUUCAUCUCCUUCCUCCCCAUCAUGCAGGGCUGGAACAGCAUUGGCAUCAUUGAUCUGAUCCAGCAAAGGCAGUUCAACAAGGCCUCCAACUCCACCUACUGCAUCUUCAUGGUCAACAAGCCCUACGCCAUCACCUGCUCCGUGGUGGCCUUCUACAUCCCCUUCCUGCUGAUGGUGCUGGCCUACCACCGCAUCUACGUGACAGCGCGGGCGCACGCGCGGCAGAUCCGCCUGCUGCAGCGCGCGGGGAACCCGGCCGAGCCCCGCCAGGGCCCCCAGGAGCCACGGCAGAGCCUUCAGGAGACACAGCAACACCUCCAGGAGACACAGCAGGGCCUUCAGGAACCACGGCAGGGCCAACACCCCCAGGAGCCACAUCAGGGCCCUCAGGAGCCACGGCUGGGCCUUCAGGAACCAUGGCGAGGCCUUCACGAGCCACAGCAACACCCUCAGGAGCCACAUCAGGGCCCUCAGGAGCCACGGCAGCACCCCCCUGACCAGCACAGCAGCCACCGCAUGAAAACAGAGACCAAAGCUGCCAAGACCCUGUGCAUCAUCAUGGGCUGCUUCUGCCUCUGCUGGGCCCCCUUCUUUGUCACCAACAUCGUGGAUCCCUUCAUUAACUACACCGUGCCCGGCAAGCUGUGGACGGCUUUCCUGUGGCUGGGCUACAUCAACUCGGGCUUGAACCCUUUCCUCUACGCCUUCCUCAACAAGGCUUUCAGACGUGCCUUCCUCAUCAUCCUCUGCUGCGGCGACGAGCGCUACCGAAGGCCUUCCAUCCUGGGCCAGACCAUGCCCUGCUCCACCACCACCAUCAAUGGCUCCACGCACGUGCUGAGGGUAAACAGCUGGAAGUGUUGAGCUCACUGCCAGAGGCUUCAGACAGACACUUUGUGCCACACGACAUCCUGGGACACCUCAAUGACUCCUCUUUAGCUUAAUGAACCUCUAACAAUCAGCACCACCUGCUCUUGCUGCUCUUGCUCCACUCUGGGACGGCCGCAGAACACGGAGGAAGGUACAAGGUGUUACACAACGGGCACCACCAGGAACAAGAGAAGCUUCCCAUCCACCCCGACCCCGAAUCCCAAGAGUCCUGUUUCUAGUCCUGGCCCAGAAGAGGAGGAACAGAGCAAUUUUAGGAUAUCCCAAGGAUUCACAGACAGCAGCACUUGAAAAUCCAUCCAUCUGCAUUGUCCUGGUGCUUCCUGCAGUGAAUUCCCAGGAAUGUCCAGCUGUGGGAGCUGGGUGGGAGCAUGGGGAGGGUCAGGACUGCUGUCCCUGUCCCUGCAGGAGCAGCUGGAGCUGUGCCAGAGCCCUGCUCCAGGAGUGAGGCAUUCCUGGCAAAGCCAGGGCCAAAACAGCUCCAAACCAGCCCGUGCGGAGACUCCUGCUGCCCCUCUCCUCUCCUGCUGCCCCCUGCUCAGCCCACCCCACCCUGCAGGCCACAGCUGUGGGGUGGCACCGAGCUGCCCCAUCCCUGCUGGCUCUGCGUGGGCCUGGGCACUGCCAGGGGAGGAGCAGCCCCACGUUUUCUCCAGGAGAACAAGAGGAAAUGUUUGCUGCCCUUUGGUUCCAGCCCCAGCUGCUGCUCCCCGAGCCUGCAGAGCUCUGCCCUGCCCUGUGGAGUUUCCUGGCCCGGGAGGAGCCCAGGAGCUGAGUGGGACCAGCCCAGCUCAGAGCCACAGCCCUGCUCUGCCAUUCCCUGGGGAUGGGACGUGUCCUGGAGCCCAGAGCUGUCCCCAUCCCUCCCUGAGCAAACUUUGGGCGUUCUGAGGCAGCAGAAGCUUGGCCAGGAGCCAGAGCCAAUGGAUCACUAAGUGCCAUCUUGGAAACAAACCACCUAAAUCCUUUUCUAGCUACAUUUGGAGGAGAGACUUCUACUUACCUUUGCCACCUUUAUUUUUCUAUCUGUUGCUGGUCUCUUCCAGUCGAGGCAAGGAGUGUUCCAGAUUUUCCAGUCUCACAUUUGCCAAGACCUCAGUCCUCAGCUGCUUCCUGCAUGUUGGUGUUGCCACGUUCCUCGUGGGCUGCUUCCCCCUUUGCAUGGAAAGGGCGGGCAAGGCUCUGAACUCCACAAAUUUGGGAAAAGGAUUUUCAUGCAGGAUCAAGAGCACGAGCCUCGACCCUUUUUAGGUGAAGAUCUACCCCAAGACGCCACCCUGAGCCUAGAAAAUACAAUUGUACUUUGUCAUAUCGUGGAACCAUGUACAGAUAUUUUUAAUGUACAAAGAAAAGCUGACAUUAUUUAUUAUUUUUUAUCAGGAACAUGUGGUUUUUUCAUUAAAAGCUUCUAGACCAA
Melospiza melodia melodia is the source of this 3142-nucleotide RNA transcript. It is a transcript of the gene named 5-hydroxytryptamine receptor 4, with no coding region annotated. NCBI's taxonomy places the organism in Eukaryota, Metazoa, Chordata, Aves, Passeriformes, Passerellidae. The transcript is spliced from 8 exons. The record is from RefSeq and is a predicted model, not a curated record.